CCCCACGGGGCGCAGCAGUGAGGAAUAUUGGUCAAUGGGCGGGAGCCUGAACCAGCCAAGUCGCGUGAGGGAUGACGGCCCUAUGGGUUGUAAACCUCUUUUGCCGGGGAGCAAAGUGCCGCACGUGUGCGGUUUGGAGAGUACCCGGAGAAAAAGCAUCGGCUAACUCCGUGCCAGCAGCCGCGGUAAUACGGAGGAUGCGAGCGUUAUCCGGAUUUAUUGGGUGUAAAGGGUGCGUAGACGGGAAAUUAAGUUAGUUGUGAAAUCCCUCGGCUCAACUGAGGAACUGCAACUAAAACUGAUUU
RNAcentral lists this ribosomal RNA (305 nucleotides) under uncultured bacterium. RNAcentral describes it as "bacterial SSU rRNA". It matches the Rfam family "Bacterial small subunit ribosomal RNA", at positions 337 to 639 of the family's 1533-position model. The record is from RNAcentral.